Molecule: ribosomal RNA, 311 nt
Filed under: uncultured bacterium
Lineage: Bacteria
Description: bacterial SSU rRNA
Rfam family: Bacterial small subunit ribosomal RNA
Source: RNAcentral
GAUGAACGCUGGCGGCAUGCCUAACACAUGCAAGUCGAACGGAGAUUAAGAAGCUUGCUUUUUAAUCUUAGUGGCGGACGGGUGAGUAACGCGUGAGUAACCUGCCUCUCAGAGGGGGAUAACGUUCUGAAAAGAACGCUAAUACCGCAUAUUAUCACAGAAUCGCAUGGUUUUGUGAUGAAAGGAGCAAUCCGCUGAGAGAUGGACUCGCGUCUGAUUAGCUAGUUGGUGAGGUAACGGCUCACCAAGGCGACGAUCAGUAGCCGGACUGAGAGGUUGAACGGCCACAUUGGGACUGAGACACGGCCCAG